This 499-nucleotide long non-coding RNA is filed under the name Gallus gallus (chicken). RNAcentral describes it as "lncRNA (ENSGALG00010002630.1)". The record is from RNAcentral. Lineage: Eukaryota; Metazoa; Chordata; Aves; Galliformes; Phasianidae.
CUGAAACAGCAUUUGCCUUCUUUCAUCAGAUUGCAGAUUGUGUGCAUGCUAACUGUACAGUUAGUAAUGUGAAAUGGUCAGACAGAUCUUUUUUCUGAGCUACGAUGUGGACCAAAGAAGAAAAGACAAGAAUAGAGAAAUGAAAAUACCAGGCUAGACAAAUUCAAAGGGACUUUUGUACAAAUAGCUUUAUUGAUUGCCAAAAAGCAAAUGAACUGGAGAGCAGAAUUCCCUCCACCAAAUGACAAAUGUGUUAUAAAUCACAAAGACAUUCUUCAACUUGAAAGACUGCAUUGUACCUCCUGGAAAACAUAAGAGAACAUUUUCUGGACUAUUUUUUCCAGUAGCAUGCUAUUUAGCAACAAGAAGAUUCUCAUCCAUAACGCUUUUAGAACAAACUUAAAAAUUCCUUUAUUAUGAUUGCAAUGGUAUCUCUUUUCUCCUUAUUUUCCAGUGGUGAGAAUUAGUAUUGUUUCAUAAAGAUUACUGCAUCACUGUC